GCUGGUAUCCAGAGCCUGAGGUGUUGUGGCUGGACGGUGAGGGAAACCUCCUCUCUGCUGGACCUACAGAGACAGUCAGAGGUCCUGAUGACCUCUAUACUGUCAGCAGCAGAGUGACUGUGGAGAAGAGACACAGCAACAGCUUCACCUGUAGAGUCCAACAGAACAAAACCAACCAGACCAGAGAGACACACAUACAUGUUCCAGAUGAUUCCUUUACGACACCUUCGAGUUCCAGUUCACCUGCUUCCAUCUUCGUUGGUUCAGUUGUUGGCAUCAUAUCUAUUGCUGUAGCUGUCUUUGCUGUGUGGAAAUGCAUACGAAAAAAGAUCAAGACUGAAACAAACCAAGGAGCCAGUGAUGCAUCAGGGAAAAGAGAAAACCAAUCUAACAGCUCUGAAGACCAGCCUCUCACUGAAGGAGGAGAAGAGACGGAGCAGACCAGGACACAAAAUAAGAGUUCACAUGCAGAGUCUGGACCUGGGAGAGAUGAAGAGGAAAGGCAAACUCGGGACUCAGUUUCCAGUAGAGGAAGAAAUAGAAACAGAGCAGCUAAUGGCAGAGGGAAAAGUAAAACAUGAUCCAGGCAAGAAAGACAUAAAAACUUUACAUGAAGAGGAAAAGAAAAGACACGGACAUCCUGUGACACUGACA
Molecule: long non-coding RNA, 654 nt
Organism: Lates calcarifer (barramundi perch)
Lineage: Eukaryota; Metazoa; Chordata; Actinopteri; Centropomidae
Exons: 3
Source: RefSeq, a predicted model, not a curated record